UUACGGAAGGCAGCAGUUAGGAAUUUUGCGCAAUGGCCGCAAGGCUGACGCAGCAACGCCGCGUGAGGGAGGAAGGCCUUCGGGUCGUAAACCUCUUUUCUGGGGGAAGAUGAUGACGGUACCCCGGGAAUAAGCCCCGGCUAACUACGUGCCAGCAGCCGCGGUAAUACGUAGGGGGCGAGCGUUGUCCGGAUUUAUUGGGCGUAAAGGGCGCGUAGGCGGCGCCUUGAGUCGUGCGUGAAAGGCCCUGGCUCAACUGGGGAGGGUCGUGCGAUACUGGGGCGCUGGAGGGCGGAAGAGGGAAGCGGAAUUCCCGGUGUAGUGGUGGAAUGCGUAGAUAUCGGGAGGAACACCAGUGGCGAAGGCGGCUUCCUGGUCCGUACCUGACGCUGAGGCGCGAAAGCGUGGGGAGCGAACUGGAUUAGAUACCCCGGU
This 435-nucleotide ribosomal RNA is filed under the name uncultured bacterium. RNAcentral's name for it is "bacterial SSU rRNA". It matches the Rfam family "Bacterial small subunit ribosomal RNA", at positions 339 to 791 of the family's 1533-position model. The record is from RNAcentral.